AGAGUUUGAUCAUGGCUCAGGAUGAACGCUGGCGGCGUGCUUAAUACAUGCAAGUCGGACGGAGAUUGCAGUGAUGUAAUCUGAGUGGCGAACGGGUGAGUAACGCGUUGGUGACCUGCCCUAGAUCGUGGGAUAACAGUUCGAAAGGACUGCUAAUACCGCAUGAAGUUACGGGAGUUAGAGAGCUGUAACGAAAGGCGCGAGCCGAUAUAGGAGGGACCUGCGUCCCAUCAGCUAGUUGGUGAGGUAACGGCCCACCAAGGCGACGACGGGUAGGGGGCCUGAGAGGGUGACCCCCCACACUGGCACUGAAACACGGGCCAGACACCUACGGGUGGCAGCAGUAGGGAAUAUUGGUCAAUGGGCGAAAGCCUGAACCAGCAACGCCGCGUGCACGAUGAAGGCCUUCGGGUCGUAAAGUGCUUUUCGGGGAGACGAGGAAGGACGGUAUCCCCGGAAUAAGGAUCGGCUAACUACGUGCCAGCAGCCGCGGUAAAACGUAGGAUCCGAGCGUUAUCCGAAUUCACUGGGCGUAAAGCGCGUGCAGGCGGUUCGGUAAGUUGGAUGUAAAAUCUCCUGGCUCAACUGGGAGGGGACGUUCAAUACUGUCGGACUAGAGGACGGCAGAGGGAGGUGGAAUUCCCGGUGUAGUGGUGAAAUGCGUAGAUAUCGGGAGGAACACCAGUGGCGAAGGCGGCCUUCUGGGCCGUACCUGACGCUCAGACGCGAAAGCUAGGGGAGCAAACGGGAUUAGAAACCCCGGUAGUCCUAG
This 772-nucleotide ribosomal RNA is filed under the name uncultured bacterium. RNAcentral's name for it is "bacterial SSU rRNA". It matches the Rfam family "Bacterial small subunit ribosomal RNA", at positions 8 to 799 of the family's 1533-position model. The record is from RNAcentral.